AAACCAGCACCUCAAGUGGUCAGGAUGAUUAUUGGGCCUAAAGCAUCCGUAGCCUGAUCUGUAAGUUUUCGGUUAAAUCUGUACGCUCAACGUACAGGCUGCCGGAAAUACUGCAGAUCUAGGGAGUGGGAGAGGUAGACGGUACUCGGGAGGAAGUGGUAAAAUGCUUUGAUCUCUCGAUGACCACCUGUGGCGAAGGCGGUCUACCAGAACACGUCCGACGGUGAGGGAUGAAAGCUGGGGGAGCAAACCGGAUUAGAAACCCGAGUAGUCC
This 274-nucleotide ribosomal RNA is filed under the name uncultured bacterium. RNAcentral's name for it is "partial 16S ribosomal RNA". It matches the Rfam family "Archaeal small subunit ribosomal RNA", at positions 473 to 747 of the family's 1478-position model. The record is from RNAcentral.